GACGAACGCUGGCGGCGUGCUUAACACAUGCAAGUCGAGCGGUAAGGCCCUUUCGGGGGUACACGAGCGGCGAACGGGUGAGUAACACGUGGGUGACCUGCCCUCAGCUCUGGGAUAAGCCCGGGAAACUGGGUCUAAUACUGGAUAUGACUCCAUGACGCAUGUUGUGGGGUGGAAAGCCUUGUGCGGCUGGGGAUGGGCCCGCGGCCUAUCAGCUUGUUGGUGGGGUGAUGGCCUACCAAGGCGACGACGGGUAGCCGGCCUGAGAGGGCGACGGCCACACUGGGACUGAGACACGGCCCAGACUCCUACGGGAGGCAGCAGUGGGGAAUCUUGCGCAAUGGGCGAAAGCCUGACGCAGCGACGCCGCGUGAGGG
RNAcentral lists this ribosomal RNA (377 nucleotides) under uncultured bacterium. RNAcentral's name for it is "bacterial SSU rRNA". It matches the Rfam family "Bacterial small subunit ribosomal RNA", at positions 28 to 407 of the family's 1533-position model. The record is from RNAcentral.